UGACGAAGGGGGCUAGCGUUGCUCGGAAUCAACUGGGCGUAAAGCGCGACGUAGGCGGGCUCUUAAGUCGGAUGGUGAAAUCCUGGAGCUCAACUCCAGAACUGCCUCCGAUACUGAGAGUCUUCGGAGUUCGGGAGAGGUGAGUGGAACUGCGAGUGUAGAGGUGAAAUUCGUAGAUAUCGCAAGAACACCAGUGGCGAAGGCGGCUCACUGGCCCGAUACUGACGCUGAGGUGCGAAAGCGUGGGGAGCAAACAGG
Molecule: ribosomal RNA, 258 nt
Filed under: uncultured bacterium
Lineage: Bacteria
Description: partial 16S ribosomal RNA
Rfam family: Bacterial small subunit ribosomal RNA
Source: RNAcentral